RNAcentral lists this unclassified non-coding RNA (1865 nucleotides) under Cyanidioschyzon merolae strain 10D. RNAcentral's name for it is "hypothetical transcript". The record is from RNAcentral. Lineage: Eukaryota; Rhodophyta; Bangiophyceae; Cyanidiales; Cyanidiaceae.
AUGAUCCUUUCCUCCCCGGUGACCAGUUCACCGCUGAGACGCGCCUAUCCGGCACUCGUCCGCUGCUUGCGAUGGCGAAAGCGUCGCGUCCAAGGCGGUACACGUGUCAGCGCUGGAGAGUAGCAACGCGCCCCGGUAUGGGUUGACCUGAAGGUUUCGAGUGCGACAACGUCGGUUGCUCGUCGUUGUCACCAGAAGUUGACAGUCGGAAACUCACUGGAACAGAGGUAUGCGCAGUGGUUCGUGUUUAGGACCUGCAGUUUUAUAACUGAGUGGAUAAACGAGAAUGUCUUGCAAUCCGCAAGCAAGUCCGCGUAGAGAGGGUGCCGCGAACCUUGUUCGGCGUACGAGAGUGCGCUGACCCCGAAACCCCCGACAAACACCAUUCACGACGUAUCGCUUGCACUUGUGCUCUAUUUUCGUUGUAGAGAGAACAGUGUAAGUGUAAAAACAGUGCAUGGUGCGGCUGAAACUCGGAUUGCUGUUGCCAACCGCUGAUACGCGCAUAUCCGGUGGUUCCACCAAAGGUGCACGCUCCGCGAGCCAGCUAACCUCUGCACCGAUAGUUGCUGCUUGCCUGUGCAUCUUCAUCUGCGGGUAGUUGAAUGAUACUUCGAUCUCGCCAGUAUAUGCAGCUCUGCACUCUAGAGAUAGCGGUGGAUAACUCUUUGGAGCUAAACGAAACUGUCGGCGAGACUGGGUCAGAUGACGAGGCACGCCCGAGGUUUCGAUCGUACGGCGAGCGCUUGCCCCGCUUGGUUUAUUUUCAGAGAGCUCGCGUCGCUGCCGGUCAACGAGCGGUGCGAUUCGCGUACACCACAUGUAUCCUCGUUAAGAGGCGCUUGUACAGCGCCCCGACUGUACUGUCUUCGUGUCGAGCAGCGCGGAACUCUAAUCCAAGUCAAGAACCUAUGUUCCGUGUAACGCACGAGUUGCCACUUCCCCGUCGCCUCUUUCUCUCGCGUGCAACAGCCUUGGAUUGGAUCGAUGGGCAACACCUCUGGAUGUAACGGAUAGGCGACAUUCUCGCUUCAUGAGCACUGCAAUACAUAGACAGGUUCACUUUUGAGAUCCUGAGUGUAUCAGGAGCUUCUCCUCGUUGCUCACGUUCGCUCCCGAGACGGCACAUCGGUCGAUGCCAGUGGCGCACUCGAAGCCGCUUGGACAAUGGUGUACCAUUUUUGGAAAUCCUCUGUGGCGAGCGCCUCGGCUAUGAGCGCCUCUGUCUCCGCGCUUGGAGCAAUCAACGGUAUCGCCUUGACUGCGACAUGCGUAUCCGCGGGUAAUAGCUCCCGCACCGCUUCCCGAAUAAGUGUUUCUGCUCGGUGGCGGCGGUGUUCCGCGGCUACGGGCAGGGCACGGGAUCCUCGGCAGUGUCCAGCGGACACGUUGGCAUGUUGUGCUGCUUGCUGCUGGAGCUCGCGCUCCGUCUCCAGAUACGCCCGCUCUACAUCAGCGCCGCUGAUCGCUACCGGGAGCUCAAGCCACUGAGCAUUCCACGCUGGUGUGCCGGGAUUCUCGGGACGUGCACAGGUCGACGCUGUCUGGCAAAGUGCUUGCUCCAGUGAGCGCAUUCGUUUCCGGAACGCUGGAUCGUCGAGCAACCGAGCGCAGACCGCCGGAUCCCAGCACGACACAGCUGAUCGCUUCGAGAGCUGAUGUCUCUGGUGCAGGGCCUGCGAAGUCAGCAACUCUAAACAGAGCUGCACGCGUUUGUGCUCUUCAUCGAAUAGAAUGGAUGACGCAUCGCAUGCGUCAUCGUCAGCGAUAAUAGUGGACGCUGGUGCUGUACCUUGCUCCGAUGUUGAUGGUGUCUCCAAAAACCUUUCAAUGAGCUUCCGCGGAUCCCCGUAAAGGCGCACAGA